This 73-nucleotide transfer RNA is filed under the name Paramuricea clavata. It matches the Rfam family "tRNA". Rfam says of the family: Transfer RNA (tRNA) molecules are approximately 80 nucleotides in length. Their secondary structure includes four short double-helical elements and three loops (D, anti-codon, and T loops). Lineage: Eukaryota; Metazoa; Cnidaria; Anthozoa; Malacalcyonacea; Plexauridae. The record is from Rfam by way of RNAcentral.
AACCACGUAGCUCAGUUGGAAGAGCAUUGGGCUAGUAUUCCAAAGGUCGUAGGUUCGAAUCCCACCGUGGCCG